CCGGUGAGAGCGAGAGGGACACGCUGUGUGAGGUUGCUGCAGGAGCAGACUACCGGAGCCGUGGGUCGUCCCGCGGGAGUGUGAAUUAUCUGCGGAAUUGGCCAGUUUGGAUGGCGAGCUUAGAGCCCUGAACUAGAGUCUGAAGCUUUAUGCCUGGAACCGAACCACCUGAACUGAACUGAAUCCACCAAACCAAGCCCCGGGCUGGUAGGAGGCUCCUCAGCAGGCGCCUUCUGUUUUUCCCUUUUUUUUUACCAAACACAACGUGUUCAUUGCGGUCCUCCUGAACAUUCACUUUUCCCCCGUCCCUUCACUAAAACUCCUCUGGACACUGCCACCACAACGUGGACUUUGCGGGGCCCAUUUAAUGAACUUUGAACUCGUGUUGCGCUUAUACCAUCGUUGGUAGAAAACAAGGACUGAAUCAAGUACACUAUUGUAUUGUAAAUACUGAACGUUCUGUGAACUGUUGAAUAUGUGAAUGGCCAUUCGAAUUUACAUGUGGAUGUUGUUUGUUUAUUUUUCCUAUUAUUCUUUAAUAUAAUUUGGUACCACUUAAACUUAAAACCUGUGUUCAGUUUUUAUUACUCUCCAUUCCUAGAGCCGAGUUUAGUUUCUUUUGAUCUAGCCCAGACAUAUCAUUCACUGUUUUACUUAAUACUUGUACAGUGCUUUAUUAGAGUAACAUACAAGUUACACAAGGAUCUGCCAAUGUCAUUACAGUGCUCCAGCUUCCUGUAUACCGUCUUUAGGAAUUUGCUGCAAAAAUAUUUGUCUCCCAGGUUUUGAACUGAACUUGGUGGCCGCUAUGGUGUCAUUGCCAGGCCUCUGGGCCGCAGUUGAAUAGCCCUGCUAUUUAAUAUAGCUCAAGUUACAAAAUUAAUUGUAACCUUUUCUGGAGAAUUGUGGCUAUUAAGGAACGACAAAAUAUAAUGUUUUUGAAGUACCAAGAUUGUUUUUCCUAUUUGGUCUAAAAAACAUUAUGUUCACUGUGAAACAAGUCCUAAAUUAAAGAGAAGUUUUGGGAAUUGGUCCUUAAAAAACAGACAUGUGUGCAUGAGACAUGCAGAAAGGAAAGGACAAACACCAGGAGGGCAUAUGAGUGUGAUGUCAAAUGUGUGAGGAA
Molecule: long non-coding RNA, 1126 nt
Organism: Entelurus aequoreus (snake pipefish)
Lineage: Eukaryota; Metazoa; Chordata; Actinopteri; Syngnathiformes; Syngnathidae
Exons: 3
Source: RefSeq, a predicted model, not a curated record